This 253-nucleotide ribosomal RNA is filed under the name uncultured bacterium. RNAcentral describes it as "partial 16S ribosomal RNA". It matches the Rfam family "Bacterial small subunit ribosomal RNA", at positions 524 to 776 of the family's 1533-position model. The record is from RNAcentral.
UACGUAGGGUGCGAGCGUUGUCCGGAAUUACUGGGCGUAAAGAGCUCGUAGGUGGUUUGUCGCGUUGUUCGUGAAAACCGGGGGCUUAACCCUCGGCGUGCGGGCGAUACGGGCAGACUUGAGUACUGCAGGGGAGACUGGAAUUCCUGGUGUAGCGGUGGAAUGCGCAGAUAUCAGGAGGAACACCGGUGGCGAAGGCGGGUCUCUGGGCAGUAACUGACGCUGAGGAGCGAAAGCGUGGGGAGCGAACGGG